RNAcentral lists this ribosomal RNA (439 nucleotides) under uncultured bacterium. Its description in RNAcentral is "partial 16S ribosomal RNA". It matches the Rfam family "Bacterial small subunit ribosomal RNA", at positions 339 to 795 of the family's 1533-position model. The record is from RNAcentral.
CUACGGGACGCUGCAGUGAGGAAUAUUGCACAAUGGGGUGAACCCUGAUGCAGCAACGCCGCGUGGAGGAUGACGCAUUUCGGUGUGUAAACUCCUUUUAUGAGUCAAGAAAAUGACGGUAGCUCAUGAAUAAGCACCGGCUAACUCCGUGCCAGCAGCCGCGGUAAUACGGAGGGUGCAAGCGUUACUCGGAAUCACUGGGCGUAAAGGACGCGUAGGCGGGUUGUCAAGUCAGGUGUGAAAUCCUACAGCUUAACUGUAGAACUGCACUUGAAACUGGCAGCCUAGAGUAUGGGAGGGGGAGAUGGAAUUAGUGGUGUAGGGGUAAAAUCCGUAGAUAUCACUAGGAAUACCUAAAGCGAAGGCGAUCUCCUGGAACAUUACUGACGCUAAGGCGUGAAAGCGUGGGGAGCAAACAGGAUUAGAUACCCGCGUAGUC